RNAcentral lists this ribosomal RNA (725 nucleotides) under uncultured soil bacterium. RNAcentral describes it as "bacterial SSU rRNA". It matches the Rfam family "Bacterial small subunit ribosomal RNA", at positions 30 to 763 of the family's 1533-position model. The record is from RNAcentral.
UCAACGCUGGCGGCGUGCCUAACACAUGCAAGUCGAGCGAGAAAGGGUAGCAAUACCUGAGUAAAGCGGCGCACGGGUGAGUAACACGUGGAUAACCUGCCUCGAAGUGGGGGAUAACACCGGGAAACCGGUGCUAAUACCGCAUACCCUGACGAGAUCUGCGGAUUUUGUCAGUAAAGGAGCAAUUCGCUUUGAGAGGGGUCCGCGGCUGAUUAGCUAGUUGGUGAGGUAACGGCUCACCAAGGCAUCGAUCAGUAGCCGGUCUGAGAGGACGGUCGGCCACACUGGAACUGAGACACGGUCCAGACUCCUACGGGAGGCAGCAGUGGGGAAUUUUUGGCAAUGGGGGAAACCCUGACCAAGCAACGCCGCGUGGAUGAUGAAGUAUCUUGGUACGUAAAAUCCUUUCGACGGGGACGAAACCGCAAGGUUGACGGUACCCGUAGAAGAAGCCCCGGCUAACUCCGUGCCAGCAGCCGCGGUAAUACGGGGGGGGCAAGCGUUGUUCGGAAUUACUGGGCGUAAAGGGCGCGUAGGCGGCUCGCUAAGUCGGAUGUGAAAACUCUGGGCUCAACCCAGAGCCUGCAUUCGAAACUGACGAGCUCGAGCUCUGGAGGGGAAAGCGGAAUUCCUGGUGUAGCGGUGAAAUGCGUAGAUAUCAGGAGGAACACCGGUGGCGAAGGCGGCUUUCUGGACAGAAACUGACGCUGAUGCGCGAAAGCUAG